Cyanistes caeruleus (blue tit) is the source of this 256-nucleotide non-coding RNA. The record is from RefSeq and is a predicted model, not a curated record. NCBI's taxonomy places the organism in Eukaryota, Metazoa, Chordata, Aves, Passeriformes, Paridae.
AGUCAAGAGGGAGUUGUACCUUUUUGCAAGGCAUUUGAAGAAAGGCCUGUCUUGAUUAUCAAUUUGUGUUUCCAACAGACACAACCCCCCAGUCCUUCAUGCAGGAAAACACAGCAGUGAAGUACCAAAAGUGAAGAGUGUCAAGGGAGGACUCUUCAAUGUUAGUCAGAUUCCAGACAGAUGAAAUUUCCUUGGCAUAGACCUAUUCCAUCUCUCCUCUGAAUCACAAUAAAUCUCGACUUGGAGGGUAACUGAU